Molecule: long non-coding RNA, 327 nt
Organism: Pecten maximus
Lineage: Eukaryota; Metazoa; Mollusca; Bivalvia; Pectinida; Pectinidae
Exons: 3
Source: RefSeq, a predicted model, not a curated record
AACAAUCAUGUUCAGAUAGGCCUACAGAUGAACAUAACGUAGGUAAGGUAUUCCCCUUACUUGUAAGGUCUGGAGCUGUCUCAAUUUUACUAGCAAGCUUGGUGUACAAAAUUUAAUGUGAACAUUGGCUUAUGGAUGAUUCUGCCUAAUAUAUGACAUCAAAGGUACAUCAGCUUUAGGACUUUAUUUAUGUGGAUAUUUGUGGUGUGACCAAUACUAGAGGAUAAAUGCCAUCCCCUGCCACCAGAGACAGCAGAUUUAGGCAUAGUUUCCCUUAGCUACCAUCUCCCACUGUUCUGUGUCAUUGAUUAAAAUUACAUAACUUAA